CUACGCCCACCGCACGCGCCGCUACUGGGGAGUCACGUAGCCGACGCCGAAUAGCUAGCGCGUGGCCGUGGGCGUCAACGGCCGCAGAGAAGCUACAAACUCCUAACGCAGCGAACCAGACCUCUGGAUCGCCGCCGUCAACAGCGUAGAGUCGGCCGAGGCGCACAGCUGGUUGAACAGCGCUAGCGACAUGGACCGUGAGCCCGGACGCCCGCACGAAGGAGUCGACGAGCUCCAGGAAGAACCCGAUACGAAGCCCACCGAGGUCUCGGGCAUUGCAACAAGUGCCGCCGUCGAGGAGGAGUUGGGAUCAGAACCUGAGCCGGGAGCGGCGGCAGCGGAAGCAGCAGCAGGAGAACAGGACCAGGUUGGGGCGGGAGCUCCCGACCCCAUGGUCUACGAGAUCCAGAAGGGCAGCGGCGGCGAAGAGGAGGAGUUUCCACAGGAGCCGAUGCUGGCGGACGCGGAGGAUCCGCAGCCCUCGGACAGGCAGCCACGCUUCCACCGAUGCUCGUUCCGCCGGCUGCAACUGAAGGAGCUGGAGAGCGUUUUCCAGCGCAGCCAGUACCCCAAUGUAUUCGCUCGGAAGGAGCUUGUGAUUCCAAUCGAUGGGAGCGAAAUCAAAGUGCAGUUCAGCAAGCCUGAAAACAACAAUUUGUGAGGGCAGGAAUUAUAAAACCUGCUUCAAGUCUUGGACACUUUCGUCCUAGACAUUCUAAAGUUUGUUUGUUUUCUCUUUUUUUGAUGCCUUUUCCAUGUUUAGCAAAUUAGUUUUGAUCUUUGGGGGCUUUGGCAAGUGGAAAUGGGAUAAGUAAACACCAGUUUAUGGAAAUUGCCAAUUAUCAGAAGUAAUUUUGUGAUUUCCUAAAAGAGCAAGAAAAGGAAAUCACUGUUGUUCCUAUUUCCUGUGAAAAAUUAAACAUAAUAAAAUUCAAUUUUCUUUAUUGAAC
Molecule: long non-coding RNA, 950 nt
Organism: Bos indicus x Bos taurus (hybrid cattle)
Lineage: Eukaryota; Metazoa; Chordata; Mammalia; Artiodactyla; Bovidae
Product: rhox homeobox family member 1-like
Source: Ensembl